This 301-nucleotide long non-coding RNA is filed under the name Mytilus galloprovincialis (Mediterranean mussel). Lineage: Eukaryota; Metazoa; Mollusca; Bivalvia; Mytilida; Mytilidae. The record is from RNAcentral.
GUUAACGCGAAAAAGGCGUGUCUUCCAAUUUUGUAUAAUAAAGUUAACGCCCGUUUACUGUUUGUAGUAAACGCGCGUUAACGCAGAUUGUCCUCGUAUCCUGGAUACACUGACCUAAUAUAUCACAUGAUAAGGUACAUCAAAAUAUCCAUCUGUCCAUUUUCGAUCAACAUAUUGACGAUUGCAUUUAAUGAAACGACACCUCUUUAAUUAAUUAAUUUAUUGAAAAUUAAUAAUUGCAUAUAAGAACAAAAUGGAAAUUCGUCCUGGAACUGUAAAACCUACAAGACUUUCAGUUUAC